This 253-nucleotide ribosomal RNA is filed under the name uncultured Catellatospora sp. Its description in RNAcentral is "partial 16S ribosomal RNA". It matches the Rfam family "Bacterial small subunit ribosomal RNA", at positions 524 to 776 of the family's 1533-position model. Lineage: Bacteria; Bacillati; Actinomycetota; Actinomycetes; Micromonosporales; Micromonosporaceae. The record is from RNAcentral.
GACGUAGGGCGCGAGCGUUGUCCGGAUUUAUUGGGCGUAAAGAGCUCGUAGGCGGCUUGUUGCGUCGUCCGUGAAAUCCUGUGGCUCAACUGCAGGCUUGCGGUCGAUACGGGCAGGCUAGAGUUCGGUAGGGGAGACUGGAAUUCCUGGUGUAGCGGUGAAAUGCGCAGAUAUCAGGAGGAACACCGGUGGCGAAGGCGGGUCUCUGGGCCGACACUGACGCUGAGGAGCGAAAGCGUGGGGAGCGAACAGG